AACGAACGCUGGCGGCGCGCCUAAUACAUGCAAGUCGAGCGAGAAGACGUAGCAAUACGUUUGUAAAGCGGCGAACGGGUGAGGAAUACAUGGGUAACCUACCCUCGAGUGGGGAAGUAACUAGCCGAAAGGUUAGCUAAUACCGCGUACGCUCCUUGGACUUCGGUUCAGGGAGGGAAAGCGAUACCGCGGGUAUCGCGCUCCUGGAUGGGCUCAUGUCCUAUCAGCUUGUUGGUGAGGUAACGGCUCACCAAGGCUUCGACGGGUAGCUGGUCUGAGAGGACGAUCAGCCACACUGGCACUGCGACACGGGCCAGACUCCUACGGGAGGCAGCAGUAAGGAAUAUUGCGCAAUGGGCGAAAGCCUGACGCAGCGACGCCGCGUGGGGGGAGUGAA
RNAcentral lists this ribosomal RNA (397 nucleotides) under uncultured bacterium. RNAcentral's name for it is "bacterial SSU rRNA". It matches the Rfam family "Bacterial small subunit ribosomal RNA", at positions 29 to 414 of the family's 1533-position model. The record is from RNAcentral.